This 514-nucleotide ribosomal RNA is filed under the name Vibrio harveyi. RNAcentral's name for it is "bacterial SSU rRNA". It matches the Rfam family "Bacterial small subunit ribosomal RNA", at positions 25 to 517 of the family's 1533-position model. Lineage: Bacteria; Pseudomonadati; Pseudomonadota; Gammaproteobacteria; Vibrionales; Vibrionaceae. The record is from RNAcentral.
CAGAUUGAACGCUGGCGGCAGGCCUAACACAUGCAAGUCGAGCGGAAACGAGUUAUCUGAACCUUCGGGGAACGAUAACGGCGUCGAGCGGCGGACGGGUGAGUAAUGCCUAGGAAAUUGCCCUGAUGUGGGGGAUAACCAUUGGAAACGAUGGCUAAUACCGCAUAACACCUACGGGUCAAAGAGGGGGACCUUCGGGCCUCUCGCGUCAGGAUAUGCCUAGGUGGGAUUAGCUAGUUGGUGAGGUAAUGGCUCACCAAGGCGACGAUCCCUAGCUGGUCUGAGAGGAUGAUCAGCCACACUGGAACUGAGACACGGUCCAGACUCCUACGGGAGGCAGCAGUGGGGAAUAUUGCACAAUGGGCGCAAGCCUGAUGCAGCCAUGCCGCGUGUGUGAAGAAGGCCUUCGGGUUGUAAAGCACUUUCAGUCGUGAGGAAGGUAGUGUAGUUAAUAGCUGCAUUAUUUGACGUUAGCGGACAGAAGAAGCACCGGCUAACUCCGUGCCAGCAGCCG